This is a long non-coding RNA of Artibeus jamaicensis (Jamaican fruit-eating bat), 1258 nucleotides long. RefSeq lists it as uncharacterized. The record is from RefSeq and is a predicted model, not a curated record. The transcript has 3 exons. Lineage: Eukaryota; Metazoa; Chordata; Mammalia; Chiroptera; Phyllostomidae.
GCGCGCACGGGCUCGGGUGCUCGCGGGCAGCAGUGGCACCACGUAGCCGCACCGCCGCCUCCUUCCACCGCUCUCCACCCUCCCCUCCCUUUCCCCGCCCCUUCAGUGGUGGCUGAAACCCCUACGACCCCCAAGCGCUGCAACGCGUACUGGGGAAGACCGCAGGCAGAAGGAAGGAGGGAGGGUGCCCGGGCGCACGCCGCUUGGCAGCAGCCCGGCGGAGAGACGGCGAUUGCUGAGCAGCGGGUCCCUAUCCGUCACCCGCACCAACAGCAAACAGCUUCUGGACGCACGCGGGGGAGAAGGUCGUUGCGGGGCGAGAGGGCUGGCUCUCACACCCUCUGAAUCCAUGACAAGAGGGAUUAAUUCCUGCAUAAGCAACUGGAUAUUGAUGGAAUCUGCAAAAUAAAGACAGGCCUGGAGAGUGUGUAAGAGGAAACGAAGAGAAGCCCAGAUGGUGUGCCUCUUCCAGGUUUGGAAAAAGAGUUGUAUCUCUCUUCUCUUCUCACAGCAGACGUCCCACUACCCAGUGGAUUUCAGCUCUGGCCUUCCAGCAGAAUCACCAGGGGUUCGUGCUCCAGUUCUGGGAUUUUGACUCAACAGUCAUGGGGAUGGAGCUUCCUCGGCUGUGUCAGUGUUGGGGAAGAAGAAAAAAAUAAAAUUUAAAAAAGGCCAAGGCCAAGUGACAAUUAGUGGGAAGAGCAUGGAUGUGAUUCAGCAUCAUGAGCAAGCUCCACCUCGUCCAUCUGUGCUGACUGGUCCAACACCCAGUGAGGAAGAACAGCGUGUCUGUCCUGUGCUCACUUUUAUUUUCUUUUUCAAACAACUUUAUUGAGAUAAAGUUCACAUACCAUAAAAGUCACCCACCUAAAAUAUACAAUUCAGUGGUUUUCAGUGUAUUCACAGACAUGUGCAGCCAUCACCACAGUCAAUGUUAGAACAUUUUCAUCCAGUCGGAAAGAAACUUCGUGCCCAUUAGCUGUGACUGUCUAUUUUCCCAUUCAGGCCCCAGCCCCAAGCAACCACUGAUCUGCUUUAGGAACCUAUAGAUUAGCUUAUUCUAGACAUUUCACAUAGGUGGAAUCAUAUAAUGUCGCGUCUUGUGCCUGGCUUUGUUUUCACUUAGCAUAAUGUUUCGAAGGUUUAUCCAAGUCAUAGCACGUAUCAGUACUUCUUUCCUUUUUUAUAGCCAAAUAUUCUGCUGCAUGGAUAGAACACAUUUGCUGAUCCACCCAUUAACUGAAGGACAGUUGGGUUA